UUUUUUUUGGCGUGUAAGGCACUCUUCCUCCACUCUCACCGCCUCCAUUUGUUUCUUCACCCCAGGUUUGCCAAUGGUUUUCUCCCUCCAGUUUCCAUCUUCCAUUUAGACUGGUGAGUCAUGCAUGUAGCCUUGCCACUGUCUCAUUCUAGCUGGCCACGUGCAUCGAUACCAGAGAGAAUACAACUGUCCACUUCUCUUUUUUCCUUUCCAAAUAUACCGCCAUACAUGACUUUCUUUUCUCUCGAUCGUUUCAUUCUCUCAUUUCUCACUGCUUACCCGUUUUCUUUCCUCUACUUCAAAGAACACACCGAUCUGCCAUCCAUUUUUUUCUGCUUCCCCCUUAUCAUAUUGUGCUUUGGUGAAGUAAAUUGGCGCAUGAAAGAAUCUUCUUCUAUUAACUCCUUACCACCACUCCUCUGUCAUCAAUGCCGAAAGCUGAUCGAUUGUGUAUUAUAACAUCCCUAGCCCUUCCAACGUCUAUAUGCCCAUCGAUUUUUUAUCUUCAUCUCUUAUGCAUUAACAAUUUUAACUGGCAAGUCAAUUAGGAUUUACUUGAAUUGUCGAUUGUCUGUCUACAUCCGUUUCUAUUCAUAGGUUGUUUCGUUUUAAAUUUUAACUGAUUUUGCUCUAAUAUAUUUGAUAUUUUUGCAUUUUCAUUCUCGGUGGUGGUGAAGGAAUUUGACGCAAGCUUCGAAAUGCAGGGCCUGGUAUGUUCUUUCGUCACUAAUCUGUCAUUUUUAGUUAUAUUUCUCUUCCUUUUUUGUCUCUAUCUAGAGAACGCAGUGAGUUUUUCCACUUCUCUAUUCCACACAAAAGCCCAAUUUGAUUGCAUAUAUGAAAUAUAGAUGCGAGAAAUAACAUUGUCAGCUAUAAGUUCUAGGAUUUGUUGUUCCAUAAUUGUAGUUCCGUUCUUCAGUGGAUUAUGGUGUUGACUUUUUUUGUUGAAAUUAUGUGAUUUAAAAAAAGUUUUUUGUAGUGUUAAAUGGCGCUAGAAUGCUUGUAUCAUUUUUAAGUUUGACAUAUUUUGCACCAUUUAGUCUUCGCCGUUUAGGUUCUUGUUGGAUGCAUCCUUUCUAUUGAACAUAUAAGUUAUUUAAACAUGUUUUGUAAAGUAAAAUGAUUAUCAGUCUAUAAUAUAAUUCUCCCUUCUAACUGGAUGGAAAGUUCAAGGUUGGUUGCGUGCGUCGCUUUUCAAUUGUUUAUUUUUAAGUUUGAGUCAUGCAAAUAUGGUUUCAUGAUUAUGUUCUAAAACCAACUUGUUUUGUAUAGCGGCUUUCCUAUGUUUCUUCUGGUAUAUCAAACAUAUCACAUAGAUUCAUAUAAUGUUUUGGGAAAAUUGCAAGAAUAGGAACGUACUUUAAUCCUACCGACAUAGGCUAUGUGCUUUAUAACAAAAAUGUUUUAUGAUUUUGCUUUUAGUUCUGUUUUUUAUUUCAGAAUUGACAUGGAAAUGUUGAUGAGUUUUUUUUUGUUGCAACGUUAAUUAGCUAUUGAUCCCUCGGCUAACGAGUUGUCUAUAAAGCAUGACUUUAAGUUUUUUUUAUAUUAAUUAGAAUUAUAGAAUUAUUGACUUUAAUUUGCCGAUGUGGAAGCAUAUAUAAGGCAUGGACGAAGGUAAUUUUUUUUCCGUACAAUUGUAAUAAAGUUGUAAAUGUUUUUAUUUGAUUAAAUAUUUAUUUGAGAUGUUUUUUUAUUCUAAUACUAGGUCAUUGGGUUGCUGAUGAAAUAUGGGCAUCUUAUGUUGAAACCUUGGUGGCAUGUUUCUUCUAUGAUUUCCUAAUAUCUAAAAACUAAAUUCGCCAAUUUACGUUAUCAUCAUUGCAACUAUUAAUAUGUUGGUUUUGGUCGUAUAAGAUUCUUUUACUUUGUUAUGUUUUAAAAUCAUUUUUGAUAUUUAACUUAUUCAGAUUUUAUGUAUUAUCUAUAAUGCUUUUGGAUUUUCAACUUUGUUCUGUGAAAAUUGCAACAGGAAAAGUAUGGUAUUUUUCCAUUCAACAAUUAUGUAGAAUAGAGAGAUUUUAAUCAGAUUCCAGCCUCUUAAGUCUUAAUGCUUAUGAAAUGGAAAUUUCAUCAGGAAAAGUAUGGUAUUUUUCCAUUCAACAACUAUAACUGUAUUGCCUGACACUUAAAUGCUAUACACCAAUAAUUACCGUGUUGAAAUAUUUGCAGAAUUUUACAAAGAACCCUCCGUGGGUCGUGCUUAGCACGGCCUUAGACGUCCCUAGUAUAUAUAUAUAUAUUUUGUGUUUCAAUCACGUACUAACUACCUUUAGACUAGCUGGUUAUCACAUUUUUCUCUUUAUGCUUUUCUCAUAAUGAAGGGACCUGAGUUUGAUUCCUUUCUCAGUAGUCUUUGUAUGCACAACAAAAAGUUUUAUUCCUAUAUACUAUGAACUUUUUUAUAUUUUUCAUCACUCAUAGAUAUCAUUUAUGUACAAAAUAUCACUUUCGACUAUUAUUUUUUAUAUUAAUGAUGUUUUGUUUUGUUAAACCUUUUUUAUACUUUAACUGUAACAUUAUUCUACUAAUAAUAUUUGUUAGAAACCAAUCUUUCCACAAAUAAUAAUAAUAAUAAUAACGCUCCCAAACCCUUGGUCGCUGUCGGCUUAUUUUCCGAUCACCGUUGCUAGGGAGUGGCUGUUUGUUCUUGAAUUUAAUAUAGAAGCGAGAUGGAGACCUGAUGAUGAAUGGGCUAGGAAUUGGGUUUGGAAGGACAAAACAGGGAACAAUCUUCGAACCAAGGGAGCAACCACAUGAUAUUACUCGGAAGAAUUACCAUGUAAGUCCUGAUGUUUCUUCCUUUUAUGUUACGAAUUUUCACAAUUCUAUUAUUCCGAAUGAUUUGUGGCGUACAUGUGAUUGUCUUGGAAAAGCUGUGGAUGUUUUUAUUGAUAAAAAGAGGUCUUGAAUUGGGUAAAGAUUUGGAUUUAUUAGAUUUACGGGUGUUCACAAUGUUGAUCAUAUGGUUAAACAAUUGUGUGAUGUUUGGUUUUGCUAUCACAAGCUCUUUGCUUCUAUUCCAAGAUUUUUGAAAUUGGAUACUUCUUUUUCAAAGCAACACAUGGUUUCUUCUAAAGUUGUGAAGAUCAAACAGAGAUGUCAUUGAGUUCUUAAGCAUCAAACAACUUUUGGGCUUAAGUUCUUGAGUUCUUCAUCGAAACACAUCAUGUGUGUGUUCAUCGAAAAAGUUCAUGUUUUACCGUAAAAAUUACAUUUAGCCGGUUGAACAUACAAUAACCGGCCAUAAUGAUAUUUUUUUUAAACAAGUUCAAUGGUAAGACGUAUACCAAAAAAAACUAUAGCGACUAAGGUGGUGUUUGUUUUUUUGACAAAAAUGUCUUUUUGACCUCUUAUGUGUGUGGGCAGAAAAAUAUUUAAAAAAAUUAUUAUUAUUGUUAGAAGACAAAAGACAUAAAAAAGUUUUUUGAUAUCUUUUUCCAGAAGAUCAAAAAUAACUUCUUAUUUUGAAAGACGUUUUCUAAGUUAUAACACUAAUGUGAUAUUUUUUUUUACUACUACCACUAAUACCGCCACCACUGCUACGACUACCGUCGUCUCCAUCACCACCAUUGUCGUUGUCGUUACCACCACUAUUGUCGUACUGCCACUAUCGUCUUUACUAUUACCACCACCUUUGCCGUCACCACUACCUCCGUCUCUGCCACCACUUUGUCCAUACCCUUAACUCUGCCACCACACCAUCACCACCCCGCCACCUCUUCAGAAACAAACACCAUCUAAAUGUUUAUAGAUAGCAUAAUUUGUUAUCCUUACAAAAUAUUGAUUUAAUGUUUAUAAAAUAUAUUUUAUUUGUUUUUUGGUAUGUUUAACAACUUUGUUUACUUAAGAUUUUAUUUCACUAAUUUAUUAUGUUUAAAUUUCAAAGCUUUAUUACUUUAUGUGAAAUAAUUUAGAGAAAAUGACUUAGGAGGGUAACUACUUCUUAUGUCGGUUCACAUGUUGGCAACAUCUUUUAUUUUUGUACACGUAAAACCAACUAACUUGUUUUAUGUAUUCAAUUUACAUCAAUAUUACCGGCUAAUACAUGUUUUAACUGGUUGGCUCAAAUUAACUCACUUAAAAGAAAUUAUGUGGCAUCUUACAUGUUCAUUACACCCUUUUGUCCGAAAUCGACUUCAUUUAAUUAGGUUCCUCACAAUUACAACCAAAUCUUUCCCGAUUAAUUAAGGUUUCUCAGAAAUCAAUCGAUCGAAGCAAUAGGAGCUCAUUGUUUGGAAUUGAAGUUGGGACUUGAAACCGUGGACUGUAAAUCUUACAAUAGAUUUUCACUAUAAUGGAAUGUUUGCACCAAACCCGUUAGUGUACUUAGACGCUAUAAGAAUGUCGGUUCGUGAUGUGGAUUUUGGUACCAUGAACUAUAGAGAAUUUGUGUUGUGGGUUACAAAGCUGACUAGAGAAGGUGUGGAAAUUUGUGCUAUUGUAAUAGAAAUGAAACAUUGGCAUGAGGUAUUAGAAGAAUCGACAAUGAUGCUGAUUAUUUUGAGUUUGUUGAAGAUGGUUACAUGCCUAAGAACGAGCUAAAAAUGAAUGUCUACAUUGACCACCAAAAUGAACCUAUUCUUGACUGGGGCGAUAAGGAGGUGUUAACAGGUGAGGAGGUGUCUGAUUUGGUAGAAGAUGAUGAUACGGACUCACACAUUUCAAAUAUAAUGGAAUGUGAGCAUGAACCUGAUGAAGAGGUGCAUACAUUUGACAAUACAAUUGAUGAUGAAGUUUUGAACACUACUAGAAAAAAGACCUUUUACGACGCGCAAAACACGACGCUCUUUGAUUUAUGUUACGCAUUAGAGAGCGACAUUAAAAAAGUGUCAUCUCUUCAAAAAAUUUAAGGAUUUAGGUCGCGCAUUACUGAGUGUCCUUAAAUUAGUGUCUGAUGUAAAAAUAUUAAAAACACGGAGGGCACCUAUAAUAAAAAGGGCGUCCUCUACAAAUGUCGCUUUAUAAUUUUAAUAAACACGCGUUUCUGGGACUCAGGGGGGAAACUAAAUCCCCCAAAAUUUUGAACACCCGCUUCCUCUUCCUCUCUACUCUCUACACCCGCCAAAUCAACUUCAUUCUCUCCCUUCUUUCUCUCUGCAAACCCCUUCUUCUCCGAUCGACUUUCACUUCCUUCUAUGUGCAAACCCUAAUCAAACAUAACACAUUUGAAAUAGUAAUAUCUUCUUUCAUUUUCUCCCCUACUACUCUCUGUAAAACCUAGCAGCCGCCACCACUAGAAACAUGGAAAAUCCCCCAAAAUUUUGAAGUACCCCGCUCACUCCUCUCAAUAUCUCUUGCGCUUUCGUAUUUAUAGCCAGAGUUGGAGAGCGAAAAGAAGAAAGAAGAAAGAAAUGAUGUGAGGGUGUGAGGUGGCGUUCAAAGGUUGUCAAGGGGUUGUGAGGAGCUAUAGGGCUCAAGUUCGAGGUUGAAGAUUAGAAACCGAAGGUUGAAGAUCAGAUUUGGGAUUAGAUGAGUCGCUGGUACAACUGACGUCGUCGUGGUGUAGGUCAGAUGAGUCGCCGGAGUCCAGGCCAAGUAAUAGUGUCGCUGGAGUUUCGGGAAGCUAACGAUGUCAUCAAUUCGAGUGCAGGUGAUGUGCCGAUUAUUGAUUUUGGAUCAAUUACUAACUGUUUGCCAUUUUCUUUCUAGAAAAUCAAUGUAGUGUCUGCUUCUUAAUCUUGUUCUCUAUGAGUACCAUUGUUACCGUCUCUGGUAAAAACAUCUAACCAUAUGCCAGAUUCGUUGAUUCAGGCUACAAAAGUACCUGUUAAAGAGUAUGAGUUUGAUGAAAAGAAGAUGGCAAAUGUGCAGUCUCAUCUGGAAAAAUUGGUUGCCAAUAACUAUUACUUGAACAGGUCUCCAAAAGAUGCGUACAGAUAAAUAUAUUAUUCAUGAAGUGAAGGCAAGAAUAGUUGAAUGGACAAGGGCAGGCUGGUCAAGACUGGAAGCUUUACACAUUUAUAUCCAUUUUGUUGAAGAUCUGAUACCCCUCUUAUCUACAGAGCAGUUCCCAUGAUGAGCAGUUGCUUGAAGCAGCUUGGUGUCUUACAAACAUAGCUGCUGGAAAACCUAAAGAAACAAGAGCUUAAUUGCCUGCAUUACCUUUACUCAUUGCUCAAAUUGGAGAGUUCAGUGCCUGUUGCAGAGCAGUGUGCUUAAGCAUUAGGAAAUGUUGCAGGAGAAGGUGAAGAACCGAGACAAAUUCUGAUUUCUCAAGGGGCAUUACUUCCUCUUGCAAAAAUGAUGUUGCCAAAUAAAGUUUCAGUUAACGGGUGAACCAAGUUUCUCUGAAAUGGCGACAGCAUUGUCAGGGCCUCCUUAUAUCUUUGUUUCUACUCCAGCUUGUGUCCAAAGAUGUCUUUCAUCAGGUGUUCUUCAAGCAAAAUCCGUUCAUGAUUAUCUUUCAAUUAUUAUUCUUGAUAAGGCAGAUCUUAUUUUUACAUAUGGAUAUGAAAAGAAUCUCAAAGAUCUCAAAACUCACAUUCCUAAAAGAUGUCAAUGCCUUCUCAUGGCUGCUACCUCAAGCUUGAAGAAGCUUUAUCUACACAAUCCCUAUAUUCUUACUUUAGCAGAAGUUGGUGAUGGAAAGGACGAAAUUGUCCCCAAAAAUGUUCAGCAAUUUUGGUUUGGUAUAAAAUCUGCUGUGUUAAAUGCUGAAUUGCCUGUGAAUUGACGUCUACAUAUUCUUGAGGGUUUUGGUUCUUAAAUGAAUAAAGAAAACAAAUUUCCUGGGCGGGAAAGAAGCAGACAUACUUGCUGGUAAGAUGAGUAUGGUACAGUUGCAAGGGCGGGACCAGUUGCUGACAGCACAAAAUGAAAUGCUCAAGGUACUCUACUCUACUGCUUCAUCAUAUAUGUCUGCAAGUUUGGUUGGCAGUUUCCCUUAUUACAGAUGCGUUGGCUGCAUCUGGUCAGGCGUUGAUUGCUAGUUCGGUUUCAAAAGGGAAUUAUAGAUCUGUGAAGGAUAUCACAUACUUCGUGUUGACUAUUGGUUUUGUGAUGGGUGUUACUUUGGCUGCAAUAUUGGGAGUUUCAUUUGGUUCCAUAGUCACACUGUUCACUAAGGACAUUGGAGUAUUGGCGAUUGCUAGAACCGGGGUUUUGUUUGUGAGUGCUAGUCAGCCUUUGAAUGCUUUUGCUUUUACUGUUGAUGGUUUGCAUUAUGGAGUUUCAGACUUCCCGUAUGCUGCUUAUUCCAUGAUUUCAUUUGAAGUGUCUCUUGGAUUAAUAAUAGCACAAUGUUUAUCAGGCCAAAACCAUUGCAUUUUGCAAUAGUUGAUGAACUUGAUUAUGUCCUAAUUGAUGAGGGAAGAAACCCAUUGUUGAUAAGGGGUGAGGCUAGCAAGGAUGCUGCACGUAACACAGUUGCUGCUAAAGUAGCUGAGCUUCUCAUGCGUGGCCUCGUAUUUUAGUUUUUUGCCCUUCUUUUUCCUUUUUGAUGUCUUGUUAUCCAUCUCCAUUGUAUGCGUAUCUCAUUGUUUGUUCCACUACACAUCAUGUAAAUUUAUAUAUUGUAACAAAUAGAAUUGUAAGACAUUAAAUUUUAUGAAAUGGAUUAUAUUUUUUUG
Molecule: non-coding RNA, 7571 nt
Organism: Lactuca sativa (garden lettuce)
Lineage: Eukaryota; Viridiplantae; Streptophyta; Magnoliopsida; Asterales; Asteraceae
Source: RefSeq, a predicted model, not a curated record